CAUCCCCGCAGGCUCCGCCCCCAAUGGCCGCCCGGGGAGAGGCUGCGGCCACGAGGUUAAUUUACUGGACAAUGCCUGUUGCAGUGACAGCCUAUCCGUCUCUUUUAUUAAGAUGCCCACGCACAAAACAGGCAGUGAUGGCCUCGGCCGGGUGCUCAGCGGGUUAGCGCGUCCUCUCACACGCCGAGGUUGCAGCUUCCAUCCCGCGUCAGGGCACAUACAAGAACCCACCAACGAAAAACAAACAACAAAAAACAAUCAACCCACAAAUGCAUAAAAGUUUUCUUAGAGGGGAAAUCUGCAUCUUAGCUUGUUUGCCAACAUACUGCUUGUUUGACACAUCGUUUAAUUUCAUCUUCAUUUCCACUAACUCAACAUAAUAAGAGACUCAGAUGAAGGAGGCACAGGCAAUACAAACAUCAAAAGAGUGAGGACGCUCCAAGGAGGACAUAACGGAGGCCAAUAGACAGAUGCACCCGAAAGGCAAACAGUCCGAGAGCAGGACUGAUGAGCGUUGACCCAAAUGGCAGGGAGAGAAAUAUUAUCCGCGAUGGACAUGCACCUCUCAGUAGAAAUUAAUGGAAAAAAUAUCCUUGUGUGAGGAUUAACAACAACAAAAAAAAAAAGUUAAAAAAAAUCAAGAGCUUUGUGGCAGGUGUGUGGCAGAGCAGAGGAAAGGGGGCUGGUCUGUGCCCUGGUAAACAUGGGGCUUCAGGGGCACCUCGGGCCCGAGCUCCAGGACUGUGAGCAGUGACAGCAGUAUUCCAGAGACCCCUCUGAACCCUUCAGGGCUUUGGGGUGUUCCAGUUACAGCCGUCAGCUCACCCAGUCCCCAGGACCCUUACAGGAGUCGGAGCAGAGUUACCUCCACCGAACAGGUGAAAACACGAAGGUGUAGAAGUCAUCAGGCUCUUUCUUAUGGCCCAUACAUCGUGGGGGACUGAAGAGGGACUUGUCACCCGUGAUUCAGGUGACAUCUAUAAAUGCAGUUCGACUUUA
Myotis lucifugus (little brown bat) is the source of this 999-nucleotide long non-coding RNA. RefSeq lists it as uncharacterized. The record is from RefSeq and is a predicted model, not a curated record. Lineage: Eukaryota; Metazoa; Chordata; Mammalia; Chiroptera; Vespertilionidae. The transcript is spliced from 4 exons.